RNAcentral lists this transfer RNA (70 nucleotides) under Trichonephila inaurata madagascariensis. It matches the Rfam family "tRNA". Rfam says of the family: Transfer RNA (tRNA) molecules are approximately 80 nucleotides in length. Their secondary structure includes four short double-helical elements and three loops (D, anti-codon, and T loops). The record is from Rfam by way of RNAcentral. Lineage: Eukaryota; Metazoa; Arthropoda; Arachnida; Araneae; Nephilidae.
GCUUUUGUAGCGCAAUGGAUAGCGCAUUGGACUACUAAUCCAAAGGUGGUUUCGAAUCCCACCUGGGAUG